This 1069-nucleotide long non-coding RNA is filed under the name Brachypodium distachyon (stiff brome). Its description in RNAcentral is "long non-coding RNA (BDIS_LNC004831)". The record is from RNAcentral. Lineage: Eukaryota; Viridiplantae; Streptophyta; Magnoliopsida; Poales; Poaceae.
CCGGCUAGGGUUGGCUCCUCCGGUGAGCUCGGGUGGCGGCGGCGGAGGCUCGGGCGGUGGCGGCGCGGGCGUUCCGGUGAUCGUUCGAGCUCGGGAAGAAGUUGGGGAGGGGUGGAGCGAAGAGACGAAGAAGAUGGCGGUGCUGGCGAUCCUUGGUUCGGGCGGAGGUGUGCGCUUCGUCCUCCAGAAGUCGACGGCGGCGGCGGUUACUUCGGGUUGGAGUCGACGGCGAGCUACGGGGCUCCAAAAAUUAAACGGAGCGCGUCACAACGUCGGCAAAGAUGAGGGGAAAAAGGAGAGGCAGGUAGUCGCGAUUUUGUCUCACCGGGUCGACGGCGGCGGCAGUGGCUUCUCCGGCGAGCUUUUUGGGGGGCCUGGCGGCGUGGAAACGGUUGAGCGAGAGAGGGGAAAGGAUGCAGGGGCGAGGUGCUUUUAAGUGACGCGGAUAGCUUCGGGUAUGGUGGAGUGGGCGAGGAGAAAACGGUCGUGGGGAUCGUGGACGCGCGCUCGGGUUCGUGCCGGAGAAAUAGGGGCAGUCGUCGGAGGUUGAAGAUGAGCCCGACCGGUGGGUCCCACCUGUCGAUGGCAGCGGCGGCGCACGGGCUGUGGAGAUGGGCCGCGGCACUCGGAUAAGUGGGCCGGCCCGGUUGGAGUCAGUCCGUUACCCCCUUUUUUUUCUUUUUUUUCUUCUUAUUUUCUGUUUUUGAUUCUAACUUUUGAUUUAAAGCUUCAAAUUGAGUCAAAUAAAAUGCAACAAAAAUUGUAAAAUCAUAUCUUCAUAUGAUUCAACUUUUGGGACAAGAAUUUCCUCAAAAUAAAAUAUUUAAAAAUAGUUUUGCCUAUAAACUUGCCUUUAGGACUUUUUAGCUAUUAAAAUAUUUAGAGCUUCAAAUCCAAUUCAAAUACCAAUAUAUGGGGUGGCAUAUUUAUUGCAUUAAACCCCUUUUCAUGCCAAAACUCUCAUGGGUUAAAAUGCAAUUAACAAAGUUUCAAGAUGUAAUAUCAUAGAACAAAGGUCUCAAUAUUACAACGUAUCAUCCAGAAUUUAAAAGGUACUUACAACUCGCAU